CUACGGGAGGCAGCAGUCGAGAAUCUUCGGCAAUGGGCGCAAGCCUGACCGAGCGACGCCGCGUGCGGGAUGAAGGCCCUUGGGUUGUAAACCGCUGUCAGAGGGGAUGAAAUGCGGGUGGGUUCUCCCAUCCGUUUGACAUAGCCUCAGAGGAAGCACGGGCUAAGUUCGUGCCAGCAGCCGCGGUAAUACGAACUGUGCAAACGUUAUUCGGAAUCACUGGGCUUAAAGGGUGCGUAGGCGGCCAGAUAAGUAGGGUGUGAAAGCCUCCGGCUUAACCGGAGAAUGGCGCUCUAAACUGUCUGGCUGGAGUGAGAUAGGGGUGUGCGGAACUUCCGGUGGAGCGGUGAAAUGUGUUGAUAUCGGAAGGAACGCCGGUGGCGAAAGCGGCACACUGGAUCUCAACUGACGCUGAGGCACGAAAGCCAGGGGAGCAAACGGGAUUAGAAACCCGUGUAGUCC
Molecule: ribosomal RNA, 462 nt
Filed under: uncultured bacterium
Lineage: Bacteria
Description: bacterial SSU rRNA
Rfam family: Bacterial small subunit ribosomal RNA
Source: RNAcentral